Molecule: long non-coding RNA, 1320 nt
Organism: Cyprinus carpio (common carp)
Lineage: Eukaryota; Metazoa; Chordata; Actinopteri; Cypriniformes; Cyprinidae
Source: Ensembl
UUUUUUUUUCUUUUUUUUUCUUUUUUUUUCUUUUUUUUUCUUUUUUUUUCUUUUUUUUUCUUUUUUUUUCUUUUUUUUUCUUUUUUUUUCUUUUUUUUUCUUUUUUUUUCUUUUUUUUUCUUUUUUUUUCUUUUUUUUUCUUUUUUUUUUUUUUUUACUUUUUAUUCAUCAAAGUAUCCUAAAAAAGUAUCACAUGUUCUGAAAAAAUAUUAAGCAGCAGAACUGUUUCCAACUUUGAUAAUGAAUCAUCAUAUUAGAAUGAUUUCUAAAGGAUCAUGUGAUAAUGAUCUUAAAAUUCACCUUUGCAUCACAGAAAUAAAUGAUAAUUUAAAGUAUAAUAAAUUUAAAAACAAUUCUUUUAAAUUGUAAUAAUAUAUCACAAUAUUACAUUUUUUUUCUGUAUUUUUGAUCAAAUAAAUGCAGGCUUGAUGAGCAGAAGAAACUUCUUUCAAAAACAUUAAAACUAGUAAUGUUUCCAAACUUUUGACCUGUACUGUGUGUGUAUAUAUAUAUAUAUUCUUUGUAAAUUAUGAUACUUUAUGUAAAAAUGUAUGCCCUGAAUUUUUAUAUGACUACCGAAACAGUGUAUGUUUUAGUCCAUUGGCCGAGACUGGUUUGAACUAAACCCAGUGGCGCAAAAAGUGGGUAUGCGCUAUAUGCGGCGCAUAGGGGCGCCGCACCAUGGGGGACGCCAAAGCGAUGGUUAAUUUUUUUUUUAAAUAAUAAAAGUUAUAUAAAAGUUAUAAAUAAAUAAAGUUAUAUAAAUUUUAGAGUACUAACAGACUAGAGUGGGCGCCGGUGCCCUCAUAAGAUUCCAUCAUAGAAUUAAGACAUAGAAGGGUAAUAUCAGGAGUGGGCGGGGCGCCGUGAGCGCUGAGUGAACAGCAGUAACGUUAGUGAGUUGUCGUUGAAACUCGAAAAAGACGGAUAAAGCAAAAAAGCUAUCGGGGGCUAAAAAUAGAAAAAUAAAGAGGGAAAAGGAGAUGGGGGGAUGCAACAGCAGCUAAAUAAGUGGAUGGUGAAAGGCAACAGGAUUGGAGAAGGAGCCACAGAGAGAUACGAGCCAGUGUGUGGAGGAGGAGAGAGAGUGUUGUCAGGUGCAGGAGGACCAAUGCCAAAUCAGACUGAUGGGAUGCAGAUGAAGAGAUGAACUGGAAAAGAGCGAGGCAGGUGGGACGGCCUCUUUAUUGAUAACUGUAGGACCGGUCUGUAAAGACCCCGUCUGAUGUCUGUCCCUUAGGGACGUCUCUUUGUCUGUACCAUCUGUUUUAGCACACCUUUGAGAGAAGGAACAUUGAACACAGAGGAAAGGAAACGCAC